Non-coding RNA from Cinara cedri, 585 nucleotides. NCBI's taxonomy places the organism in Eukaryota, Metazoa, Arthropoda, Insecta, Hemiptera, Aphididae. The record is from the annotation of a GenBank genome assembly.
UUAAUGAUUAACAUUUUGGACGUACCCAUAAGACUAUAAUAUUAAUAUAUUUAUCCGUUCAUAAUGAUAACAAUGUGUAUUAUAAUUUUGUAUCGUCUGGAUAUUUAGACAAUGGUGAAAUAACUUAACGUCUGUAUGAUUAUGCAAUUAAAGUGCAAUUAAAUGGGCGAGCGAUUGACCUCCUCUUUUAUAAGCCUUGUGAUAUUAUUUUUUGUUAUGCAAAAUAUCCACAAUUUUUAAGUACAAAUAUGUACAAAUGAAACUGGUUCUAAAUGCCAUAAAGAUGAUUUUGGAUCUUGGAAAUACUUUGAUUGAAACAUGAAUGAAACACUUCUCAUUUGUAAAAUUCCAACAUAUGUUCUCUCGAGGGUAAGAUUGAAUAACUGUGGAAAACUAAGUGGGAAACAAUUAAUUUGCAAAGAUAUAAUAAAAUAAUAUAUUUUUAGAAUCAAAAUUGAAAGCUGAAAAGUUUAAAAUUAGAUUCUGAGUGUAGCGAAGAAUGUACAAUGAUGUUUUUUUUUACCGUGACAAAAUUUUUUACCAGAAAUCCUGCUUCAAUAUGUAAAUGUAACACUUUUUUUGGCC